This is a long non-coding RNA of Felis catus (domestic cat), 6279 nucleotides long. RefSeq lists it as uncharacterized. Lineage: Eukaryota; Metazoa; Chordata; Mammalia; Carnivora; Felidae. The transcript has 4 exons. The record is from RefSeq and is a predicted model, not a curated record.
ACCCGCCUCACCCCAACACCAGGCUCGCCUCUUCAGCUCAUAUAAGGUAAAAGGCAGAGGGCCCCUCUGUGGCCAAGGAGCAGCGGGCAAGGGGCUGAGGGGAGGGGGGCCCAGUGCCAGCCGUUUAAAAAUGCCCCGUGGCGGUAAGGGGUGCCAGAGGCCCGGUCAAGUUAGUUGAGAAGCAGUGACGCCCCCAACCGUCCCCUAAAUGGGCUGCCCCCCCUGUCCGGGCCACAAGGAGCCACACCUGGACCAGACCCCAGGAGAGCUUUUGCCUGAGCACAGGAAGUCAACCAGGACGAAAACAGCAACCUGCAGAUUCCCCGCUACGGGGAGCAGCAUCCUCUGUGCCCAAGCUCUGCUGUCCAGCCUCGGAAUUCCCAGAGAGUCAAGAAGCUGGAACGGCCCUGAAGAUCACCCCAGCGGGGGAAUCAGAGACCAGAGAGGUUCAGCAUAUUGCUCAAGGUUACACAGCAAACCAUGUGCAAAUGGGAAGUGGGCCCUUGGGUCCCCCGAUGCCCAGACCAGUGCUCUCUCCACUAACCACGCUGCCCUUUAGAGUAGUGGGCAUGUUAGCCAUCCACACGUGAGCCUGGGAUCUAUUUACCUUGACACCCCAAACGUCCACACGGUCUCUUUCCCUCUCUGGGAUGCAGUUUCUUCUAAAAACAGGGAGAUGGCGUGGACCAGAUGUUUCUCUAAGGUCUUGCACUCCAUCACUGGGGCUCCACCAGGACCCCAGGGCUUUCCAGUGUGGCCACCCCAGCCCUCUCUUCACAGACGAUGGAGCUACCCUCCUCCCACUCCCCCCAACCGGCCAGGACAUCCCACCAAGUCACAGCCCUCACCCAGACUGUCCCACCCUGGACCCCAGGGCUGGGCCUCAUCCAGAACUACAGGCUCCUGGCCCAACUCCCCCUCUGGGGAUCUGAAUUUUUCUUACCAUAAAAGGGCAAGCGUGCCUCUCUCCCCGUCCCUGCUGCCAGCCCCGCUGGGGGAAAAGCUGAGCUAUUUUUAGAAAACUCAAGGGUUUGCUCCUGGACUUGAGAUGGAGCCUGUGGGAGCCUGCAGCCCGGGGAGCCCCUUCCCCAUCUCCCUCGCCCGCCUUCUCUCCCUCUGCCCCUCUUCUCACCCCUCACCCCGUCUUCACUCGCUUUCUUCCUCUCCCUGCCUCUCUCCCUCUUGCCCUUCGGUCAAUGACUCCUCCCUCUUCCUCCCCGUCUCCUCUCUCUUCUCCCCCAUCUCAUACACAGCUCCCCUCCCCCCCCAUCCCCUCCUUCAGAUCCGGCUUUUGGAAGAUGGAGAAAGUAACACAUCUUCACCCCCAUCCCCUUCUUAAACACUAUUUACAACAUAAAUUCCAAACAUCCGCCAUCUGGUUCUAGGAAGGGCCAAAAGAUAUUUAGAAAAGGAAGUCAUGAUUAUUCCAUCUUCAAAGCCAAAGGAACUUAAAGGCCCCCUCUCUCCCGCCUCCCUCCCAGGGCCUCUUUGUUAAGAUCUAACAGAUUAGGAUCCCUCUGUGAGUAGAAAGAGCCAGUCCCAGCUGGGCCUCGGACUGCAUCACUUUGAGCGGGUUGCUUCUCCUCUCCGUACCUCGGUUUUCCUCAUCCGAGCAAUGGGCGCGAGACGAGGUUGCCUCCAGCACUAACGUUCUGAGACUUUGAGUCCUGCUGCAGAAAAGCCACCUGGCCCAGGUCCCUGUGGCCUGCUCUGGGCUGAGCAUAGGGUGGGCUAGCGGGGGAAGCGAGUCAGAGCCAGCGGGGGAGUUCCAGCCUCAACCUUCGGUGCCCCUUCCCUCUCGCUCCGUGGAGAUCCAUGCAGACCGUCCACCUCCCAGCACACUGACAACACUAACACCAAGGGGAUGGGCUGGGGUCAAGCCAUCCCCCCCAGUGGGAUACCAUGGAGUCCGGUCCCCUCCCCACCACAUCACAGUGAGGCCCAGAGAGGGGAAGGCUCUUUCCGCAAUCACACCGCGUGUCCACAGGUGACCUGGAUUCUAACCGGCUGCUCUUCCCAACCAGCACGCUCCAGAAGAAACCAGCAUUUGUAGUAUCCAGAGAGCGUCGCUCAGAGCCAGCAAACCGGGACCCUGGAGGCCCCACUUCUUUGCAAAGUGGACAGGGCAGAAGGGAGAACUAAUCCCUUUACUGCGGUUGGUUGGUUUUAAACAGACAGCACGGGGGCGCCUGGGUGGCGCAGUCGGUUAAGCGUCCGACUUCAGCCAGGUCACGAUCUCGCGGGCCGUGAGUUCGAGCCCUGCGUCGGGCUCUGGGCUGAUGGCUCGGAGCCUGGAGCCUGUUUCCGAUUCUGCGUCUCCCUCUCUCUCUGCCCCUCCCCCGUUCAUGCUCUGUCUCUCUCUGUCCCAAAAAUAAAUAAACGUUGAAAAAAAAUAAAAUAAAAUAAACAGACAGCACGCUAGGGAGAAGUACUAGAGGCAUAACGAAAAUGGAAAGCCUCCCUGCUUCUGGAGAUGUGCACCUUUGCCGGGGUCCGCACACCUCCGUUUACUCUGCAAAUGCUUCUUUGCCCACAGCCCCGUGUCCACCUCAGUGAACACAGGCCUGACGAAACGCCGUGAGACACUCACCCAGGCUGUCGCUCUAUAAAAAUGGCGCCGGGGAUAGUCGGGUCUCACGGGGCAGCCGUGAAAACGCGUGUUGGGCUGGCCGAAGCCCAUCCUGAGCCUGACGCUCACCGGCCGUGUGACCUUGAGGGAGCGCUAUGACCUCUGCGAGCCUCAGUUUCUCCGUCUGGAAAAUGGGAGUGAAAACGGCAAGGGCACUGGCCGGUGGGAGCCACUCUUGCAACGCUGACAUUGGACGAGCAAGCACCCCAGAGAGGGCCUCCUGAGGACCAGAGAGGAGGGCAGGCGGCAAAGGCCCUGAAAACAGAGCUCCUCCCCAGAGCUUCCCAAGAAGACAGAGGCUCCCCCGGGCUGGGCUUGGCGACAUUUCCUGAAGACAGUAGGGAGCAGUGAGGGGAAAUUGGCCCGUUUCUGGGAGCAACGUCGCAGAUUGCCAACAGCCGGCACCAGGUAAGAAUCCGCCCGCUAUGAGUCUAAGGCCACCUGCUCAAGUGUCUCCUUGGACACAGGGGAAAGGGAGCCACAGAGAGGGGAAGCACGUGGGAGAAGUGACCACACCGGUAGAACUCAGGUCUCCCAAAUGGCCCGCUGUCUCCUGACUGGGGACCAAGAGUAAGAAGGAGCCUCUGGUGGGGUAAGUGGAAUAGGAGGGCUGUCGACCUCCUUCUCAUCUGAAGGAGACCAGGGGUCAGGGCCAGCACUGUCUGCCUGCUGGACAAGUAAGAGAGACUCAAGGGAAGAGUUCUUGGGCAAGAGGACAUGCUUCCUGCAUCUCUGCCCCUCCUCCCAGCCUACCACCUCCUCCUCCAGGAAGUCCUCCCAGCUCCCCCCCUGGGGCGGGAACCUCUUUGUCCUCUAAGACCUUGGCAGUCCUUUCUUAGGCUGUCCCUGGUGCCACUUGGAUCUGUGCCCUAUUCACCUUGCCAGGGACAUUCUUCUUCCAUCUCAGCCUGACUGCACUCCUCCAGGGCAAGGACAUCAGUCCCACCUCCCCUCGGCACAUAGAAGUCACCCUAGGCUUGCUGGAUGGGGAGGUGAAAUGGUGAGACCCUGUCUCAAACCCAAAGGAUUGGUAAAUUGGCCAGGGGAGGAGACAUUCGGCAUAGAGGUUAAGACGAGGGAGCCGGGGUUGGCUGUUCUGAGUUAGGAACCCAGCUCAGCUCCUAACUCCGUGGCCUUGGAAAAUUCCCUUCUCACAGAGCCUUGGGGAUACGAGGGGAUUAGCACAAUUAAAACAGCCAACAAAUGACUGUCCUUAUUACAGUCGGCGUCACUGUGAUUUUCCUAGCUACAAGGAACGGAAGUACGCAGCCUAUAGCCAGAGGAGAAGCAAACAGCUUCCCCCAAAGGCUGCUCAUGGAGCCCUGUCCCUGCAUCACUUUCUCCCACGGGAACAUGGGCCUGCCUCCCAUCUACUUCCUGUUUCCAUACCCAGGAGGGGGGCUCUCUCGGCCACAAUAUUCGGAGCCUAAUGGGAUGUGCAGAAACAGCCCACGCCUCCCCUGGUUCGAGCCAGGCUGUGCCCACAGAACCAUCUCCUCCCCGUCCCAGUCCCCCGCGUGGAGGUCACAACAUACCCCUGCCGGCCUCACCAGCUGUCCUGAAGGUCCAGCGUCACGGGGCGCAGCUCCCCGAGCUGCAGUCACGCAGACGCCCCCUUUCGUAUUUUUGCCACAUCUGCAAACCGGCACAAUAGUUUUACGUUGAACACGAGUCACUGGCAAUAGGUACGUACAAAUCGCUACCGUUCAUGAGAAACUCUAACACUGCUCGUGACGAGGAGACGAAGGCAAGAAAAAGCAGAGCGAGCCCCAGGCGGUGUGACUACCGUCCCCCUGGUACGUGGCUUGCAAGGGCCUGGGCCUGAGGCCUGAGACCCGAGGGGAGGACGCAGGGACGCCAAAGGUGGGCAGCUGAAGGCUUCAGAAAGAGUUGUGCAGCAAGGGACGCGGGAGGCUGGCUUUAUCAGCUUGGUUCCCGGGGCCCUGGAAAGUUCACUUUGUCGGGACAGCCCCCGGCCCCCAGCUUCUUACUGAAACCUUCAAGCUGUCAGGCCCGGCACGUUCUCUCGCAGGGCUGGUGGCAGAGUGGCAUGGACAGGCUGUGGGCGGCCCAGGACCCCGAAGGUGGGUUGUUGGAAUCAUUCCCCAGCUAAAUGCAGUUUGGGAAGAGUUCCUACAGGAGAAUUCCAUAUUAGAGAAAGGCAUUUCUUUGGCUGGGAAUACCUCAGGUUGGGGCUGUCCCUCUCAGGAGGCCGUGGGGACUGAGCUGCUCCAAGUGGCAGACCAGAGAGAGAGACUCUUUUGAUUUGGGCCAAAUUUCAGAUUUCUGAUAGAGGCACAGGAGAUACAUUUUUUUUUUCUUUUUUUUAAGGAAGUGUGUGGUUUUUUGCUCUCUGCUAAGGAGAGGAUACCCACUGCCUCCCCUCUUAUGCCUUCAGAUAUCUCUGAAAGUAUACGUCAUGCACCACAUGUCGCCACAUAUCAAGGCCACCACAGUAGACAUCCAGCAACGCAGGAAGGUCCUCUGGGGGUUCCCCGAGAACUUGGCGGGGCAGGAGGGACCGAGGGAGCUCUGCCUGCUCACUCAGAGGUUCCCACCCAAGCCCGCUCUCAACAGAAAAACAAUUUAUCUCCGUGGCCAUUCAUUCAUCCACCAAAUGGCAUUCCCUGGGGCCCAGUAUCACAUACAAAGACCGCAGCAAGGACACCCCUAAACCCACAAAUGUGGGUGCUCUCCCUGGGGAACUGGAUACUAGCCCAGUCGGGCCCAGAUGCCAUUUGCAGCCUGACCCCGGAAAGAAACAGAUUGAGGAAAACAAUUCAGCCAUUCAACCAAUGCUUAAUGAGCGUCUACACGGGGGAACCUACCUUCAGUGGUGAGCCCAGCCAGCCGGGUCCCUUCCCUCACAGGUGGGCCACACAGCCCACAAGUGGGGGAGGUCGGAAAAGAGAAUUGCACACCACGUGUGACACAGGAUUAGAAAGUGGACACAGCAUGUGUGAGGACCUUGACCAGGGCGUCCUGAUGUCUGAGGCGGUGGAGGAGGGCUUCCCAGAAAAAGCAGCCUUUUGAGUAGGCACGGAGCACUGGGAGAGGAGUCAGCAGGGGGCGUGAGGGGGAGCACCCCCUAAGAGUCCAGAGGUGGUGGGCACCGGAGAAGAGGAAGAGGUCCUCGUGAUCUUCGGUGAGGGUUUGGGAAUUCAGCCGGAAGGAGGGUGAGCGCUUUCAGGCUCGUAAGCGUGGAGGCGAUAGGAGCGUUCCAGAAGGAUGUCUGAGAAGGAUGGCUGGGGAGUCGGGAGGAGCCGGAGCAGGAAGUCCACACAAGUACCCUGAAGGUGCCGUCUGGCUCGAAUGAGCAGCGGGUAAAGGUGGGGAUGGGGCCACCGUAUCAGGUGAGCCCAGGCUGCUCUGCAAAGACAGAAGCGGCCUGCCCAGAGCAGGGCUGGUGGGAGAUGCGAGGGCUAACGGAGAAGGGGUUUCUCUUGGGGGUGAGGACGUGGUCUAAAAUUAAUUGCGACAGUGGUGGCACAACUUUGUGAACAUAUUAAAAACCAUUUCGUCGUACGUUUAAAUUGGGGGGGGGGCAUGUGGAUUACAUCUCGACAAAGCUGGUUUAAAAAAAAGAAAAGAAAAAGAGGGGCGCCUGGGUGGCUCAGUCAGUUGAGGGUCCGACUUCAGCUCAGGUCAUG